UAGGGAAUAUUAGUAAUGGGCGAAAGCCUGAACUAGCAACGCCGCGUGUGCGAAGAAGGCCUUCGGGUUGUAAAGCACUUUUUGAGAGGAUGAGGAAGGACGGUACUCUCAGAAUAAGUCUCGGCUAACUACGUGCCAGCAGCCGCGGUAACACGUAGGAGGCAAACGUUAUCCGGAUUUACUGGGCGUAAAGCGCGUGUAGGUGGUUUGGUAAGUAGGGCGUGAAAGCUCCUGGCUCAACUGGGAGAGGCCGUUCUAAACUGCCGAACUAGAGGAUGGUAGAGGGAGGUGGAAUUCCGGGUGUAGCGGUGGAAUGCGCAGAUAUCCGGAGGAACACGUGUGGCGAAAGCGGCCUCCUGGACCAUUCCUGACACUCAGACGCGAAAGCUAGGGU
RNAcentral lists this ribosomal RNA (394 nucleotides) under uncultured bacterium. RNAcentral describes it as "bacterial SSU rRNA". It matches the Rfam family "Bacterial small subunit ribosomal RNA", at positions 355 to 766 of the family's 1533-position model. The record is from RNAcentral.